This 889-nucleotide ribosomal RNA is filed under the name Staphylococcus aureus. Its description in RNAcentral is "bacterial SSU rRNA". It matches the Rfam family "Bacterial small subunit ribosomal RNA", at positions 141 to 1013 of the family's 1533-position model. Lineage: Bacteria; Bacillati; Bacillota; Bacilli; Caryophanales; Staphylococcaceae. The record is from RNAcentral.
GGGUAACUUCGGGAAACCGGAGCUAAUACCGGAUAAUAUUUUGAACCGCAUGGUUCAAAAGUGAAAGACGGUCUUGCUGUCACUUAUAGAUGGAUCCGCGCUGCAUUAGCUAGUUGGUAAGGUAACGGCUUACCAAGGCAACGAUGCAUAGCCGACCUGAGAGGGUGAUCGGCCACACUGGAACUGAGACACGGUCCAGACUCCUACGGGAGGCAGCAGUAGGGAAUCUUCCGCAAUGGGCGAAAGCCUGACGGAGCAACGCCGCGUGAGUGAUGAAGGUCUUCGGAUCGUAAAACUCUGUUAUUAGGGAAGAACAUAUGUGUAAGUAACUGUGCACAUCUUGACGGUACCUAAUCAGAAAGCCACGGCUAACUACGUGCCAGCAGCCGCGGUAAUACGUAGGUGGCAAGCGUUAUCCGGAAUUAUUGGGCGUAAAGCGCGCGUAGGCGGUUUUUUAAGUCUGAUGUGAAAGCCCACGGCUCAACCGUGGAGGGUCAUUGGAAACUGGAAAACUUGAGUGCAGAAGAGGAAAGUGGAAUUCCAUGUGUAGCGGUGAAAUGCGCAGAGAUAUGGAGGAACACCAGUGGCGAAGGCGACUUUCUGGUCUGUAACUGACGCUGAUGUGCGAAAGCGUGGGGAUCAAACAGGAUUAAUACCCUGGUAGUCCCACGCCGUAAACGAUGAGUGCUAAGUGUUAGGGGGUUUCCGCCCCUUUAUUGCUGCAGCUAACGCAUUAAUCACUCCGCCUGGGGAGUACCACCGCAAGGUUUGAAACUCAAAGGAAUUUGACGGGGACCCGCACAAGCGGUGGGAUCUUGUGGUUUUAAUAUUCGAAGCAACGCCGAGAACCUUACCCAGAUCCUUGGCCAUCCUUUUGACAACUCUAGAG